CAACAGCAAAGGGAGCAGGAUAGGCACUUCUUGGUGUGCCGAGGUCAUUGAAGGCUUUGUAGAAGAGCCAAAACACACAGGGAGAAAUUACACAACCCAUUGCUGUACCGAUGACUUGGCUCACAAACAUUGAGCGGGGGGAAGCCAAGGUUAGAUAGCCGGUCUUGAAAUCUUGGGUUAGAUCGGAGGCUGUUGAGACAAUGUUCAUCAUAACUCCGCAUGCUGCGAGUCCAGCAAGAACACCACCAUGUGCAGAGCCGGCCCAUGCCCCGAUCAUGAAGAUGGCCACCUUUCCGUAAGUGGAGGCCAGAGACCAAUCAGUGAGGCCACAGCCAUAUGCAUUACAGAAAGCCAAGCUGGGCGCAAAGAGGUAGAUGACCAAUAUAUAGUACCAUUUGAGUUGGGGAAAUAUGUGGGGGACAGUGGCAAUUGAGACUGCAGCAAUGGAAACAUAGCCUCCAACAGCAAACCAUGCUGGAAUUUGGUCUUUGAGAAAGAGUUGGGUGCGGCGCUGGUCAUCAUAUGAGAGAGCAGAGGUCACAGCUGGAGAGACCUGAUCUUCAAUCGGGAGAAUGUUGUUCACAUCUUUGCCUCGGAGUUGGGAUUGCAAGGCGAUGAGGGUUCGACUUAGCACCUUCAAGAAGUUGUAUAGCCCGUCACCGAGGAUCAUGGCAAUGGCAAUGAAGAUCUAAUGAAUUGAUUAAAUACAGUACAGGGGUAGGUAAGUUUGAAGAUAACAAGUAUAACUUGUUCAAAACAAAAGUAGUAGUAGAAAAGAAAACAGAUCACACACCUUGUAACCUUGAAGGCCAUUCAUGCUUUUUGGGCUGAGUUCAUUGCUGUACCAAUCGCCACUCCUGUUUUCUAUGAGAGGCCACAUUAAACCCCAAGACAGAAUACCUCCAAGAAGAACAGAUAUGUUCACAAUGUAGGGGCAAAUCAUCCCUACUCCAACAUAUGUGGCCGAGAAAUCAAAGAAGAACCUGCAAAUAGAAAUUCAUGAAUCAUGAUCGAUCGAGCUACGUACCACAUUACAUUACAUAUAUAUAUAUAUAUAUAUAAUCGGACAGAUUCAAAUAAAAAUAAUGUAUAAGUAGUACUUGUUCUGAUAUGCUUUGAGGCCGAGCGUAGGGAAGCUUGCAAAUCCACAAUCACUUCCAGCAGUAUAGAACCACUGAAAGAAACCCCACAAGAAACUGAAGGAGAAGAACUUUCCCAACUCCUUUACUUGUUUCCUAAUUGAAUAAUAAUAAUCCAAAUAUUAAAAAAAAGGAGUUUAGAUUAGAACCAUAAAAUAAAUAAAAAAUAAUUUUGAAAUGAUUAAUUUUGAAGAAGGAGUUACUUGGCUAGCUUGGCUCCUUGAGGAGUGUGGAAACUGUUGAUAAGAUGAGCAGUUGCAGUGCCACUUGGAUAUGUCAAUUUGAAGUCUAUGAUCAUGAUCUGAAACCAAUCUCAUGUUAUCUUGACUAGUGAGUGAGUGUUGAAAGAGUUGAUUCACUAAAGUUCUCAUAAGUUUAUUAAGUACCUUUCGAAGAGGCACGACAGAGAAGAGGCCGAGAAAGCUGACAACAAAGAGAAAGCCAAUGAACCAAAGCAAGCCUGGAUCUUUGAUAUCGCUCGUACUGUUGUCUGUGGAUUGUUGGGCAAUGCGUGCACUCAUGCCAAACAGAUAGUUCCCAAAACCUCCUGUCAGUUUGUACAUUUACUUGACACAUUACGUACUUAUAAAUAAAUAUAUAAGCUUGGCAUAUCAUUAUAUCAUACAUACAUGAAUCAUGAUAGAUGAUAGAUGAUAGAUGAUAGAUGAUACAAUACACCAUCAAUUUCAAUUCAAUCAUCUUUCCCCUCACUAUUUAUCUUCAUAUGAUAUUGGGACCACCACCACGCCACUUGCCUAAACUCAAUCUCUUUUUUCAUUUUUCAUUUUUUUUCUCCACCUAGAAAGAGCAUUUUCAGCUGGAGGGACUAGCCCCAGGCAAGGGACCCCCUAGGCCCCCAAUCUUGUUUCCAACAGCCAAGGAUUGCUAGGACAAGCGUCCAAAGGCAAGACUUGCUUGGGCAAGCUGACUUUACGCUGACAUCAUUGUAACGUCAGCAGCCAAUUUAAAUAUUAAAAAAUUUGAAGAAAAAAAAAACUAAAAAAUUUAGAAUUUUUUGUCUAUAAAUACCUAACCAUAUUCUUCAAUUCCCACACAAAAACUCCAUAUAAAUUCCUUUUCUCACAUCUCAUGUGAAUAGUGGGCCCUUCAGUUACCAUGGUAAUGGGUGCGAAUGCAUAAAAAAAAUUGCUAAGGUAGUCACUAUUCAUAUGAACAGUAACAGGGUCAGUCCUGAGUUUUCAAAGGCCCAGGGCGAAAAUCUAAAGUGUGCCCUAUACACAUUAAUCACUAAUACUAGUAUACUUCUUGUUUUAUCAACUAAGCAUUGGGUUUUUUGAGAAAAUAUUUAUUCGAAAAUAUUUUUAGACUUUGAGCAAUGUCUUUCAUAUUCCUAAAUAAUGAAAACAAAUGUCCAACUAUAAAUAGUAUAUCAGUGAGUUAAAGAAUUUCUUUUAAAACUCUCGUAAUAGAUCCUUUGUUCCAAAAUUUCAGAUUCAUCCCAAUAUCCUAUUCCUAAAAAUUAUGGAAAAAUAUUAAAUCAAUUUAUAAUAAUAUAAUAUAAUACUUAUUAUAAUAUAAAAAUUUGGAGCCCUCUUGAAUGAUGGGCCCAGGGCAGUCGCACAGACUGUCUCUGGGUAGGGUCGGGACUGAACAGUAACUGCCCUUGCCUCCCUUUACCUUUUGUCAUGGCAAAUGGGUGGAAUUCCUGUAAGUAUGCAAAGCCAAUCUUUUCCUGCUCUAAAAGUCUCUAAAACACCCUCGGGAAUGAGGACAGGCGGCCUAUCAGCAUUCAGCAACAUGUAAUCCCAAACUCUGACCAUGCACAAUCCGCAACAUAACGACUCUCACUAUUUAUUUAAUUACAUCAAAUACUAAUAAUGUAAAAUCAUGCCGGCCUAAGCGCAGCAAAAUUCUUUUUAAAUUUAACAACAACAAAACUAAUUUUCAUACUCCAUGGAUGAAUAGUAUAUGCGAAAAACAUGGUUGGUUGGUUUUAAUAAUUUCCUUGUUUCAUAAAAAUAAAAGAAGAUGUUGUCAUUUUACCGAGCUAAGCCAGCAUGACAGAAAGAAACUAAUAAUUAACGACGUCAACAAAAUCCAAAUGAAGGAAGCUAGCUGGAUCUAAUCUUCACCUUCAUCUUCAUCUUCAUCUUCAUGGAUGGCAGAUAGCAGAAGAUCGAUAUGUUAAAUGUUAAUUAAUGUCAUCAGCUUAUUAAUUAGCAAAGCAUAAUGAAUGAAUGAAUGAAUGAAUGAAUAUAAUGAAGGUAGUAGAUAGACUGACAGAUAAUAAAAAAUCAGAAGAGAUAGAGUCUAGAGAUGAUAUAUAGAUAGAUAGAUAGAUACCGCUAAAGGCGAUGCUGGAGGAAGCAACGACGCAGGUCUGGAUAACAGUGUUCUCUUGCCUGGUGAAGGGUUGUUUGAGGAGGCCACACCUGUCGAGGAACUUGGUCCAAGUCCUGACAAAGAAGAAGCCCAAGAGUCCAGCAGAGACGUUGAGAGAAGGAAUAAUACCGGUGGUGAGGUUGAGCUUCAUCACUAUCACACUGAAGAGCACGCUCAGCACAAAGCUUAUGAAAAACGCUCUCACUGUCAGCUGCUCCUUCCAUGACGGCACUAUUUGCUGCUCAAAUAUCCUUUCCACUGACAACUCCUCCUCCACCCCCAGAUUCUCCUUCUCUUCCUCUUCCUCGUACGUGGUCGUCUUCUUCGGAUCCAGCGCCUCAAGCUCUAAAUCAUCUUUUCUCAAUCCUUGUACAAGUCCUGCUUCUGACGCAUGAUGAUCCCUUUGGUACUCUAACUGAUCAUCUUGUUCAAGUUGAUGUUGCUGCUGAGUACCCAUAAUUAAUAUUAUUUAUGAUAGCCUAAUGUAUUUAUGGGUACUCGUGAAUGUAUUGAUCAAUCUUGUUGAUUUGAGUUUCAGUUUGAGUAUGAGGCCGGGCCACAUGUAAUGUAGUGCUUUAGCCUUUAUAUAUAAAAGGGAAUACUAGCAACCUUCUCUCUAACAUUCUCUUUUGUACUUUCUCUCUUCUUGUUAUGACAUGUGUCAUUUUAUUUACACUUAAAAUAAUAUUAUUAAUAAUCAAAUAAGCUAGUUUUUGUUUCCAAAUUUAUCCUUAUUAAAUGAAAUAUUUAAUUUAAAUAAAUUGACUUCUCUAAUUUCUUCAAUUUAAAAAAUAUUUUCUCUCUCCAUCUCACUCUCUCAAUCCUCUCUCUAUCCUUUGUAGCGCCCCACAACCCUUCUUCUACCUCGCCACUUCUCCCCAAAACAAACACUAAUACCCAGCAAUGACCCAUGAUCAGUACCCAGAUAAGCAUAUGAAAGAAAUCCACUUCUUCUCCCCCCUCAUUACCACCAAACAUCUCCCUCAUCCCUACCCAACAGCCCCCCACCGUCCAAAGAUUCCCCCCCCCCCCACCUGCCCACCUCCUUCGCUUUCUCUGUUGUUUGUAAUUGGACAAUUUUUUAUUUUAUUUCUCAAAUCUCACCACCAAAGCACUAUUUUCUAUUUUUAUUUGGUUUCGUUUAUUAAAAAAAGUGUUUGAACUUUCAUGAUUCGGAAAGCAAAGGGUAUGUAGACGUUAGAGAGAGAUGAAAAAUCUUGGAUUUUUUUUUCUCAUUGCACAAAAGAGUAAUAGUAAUGCUGCUGCUGCUGAGAACGAAAGAAACCAACUUUUUUAUUAACACCAAAAUCAAGCAUUUGUUGUUUUCUCUCUCUAGGCUCAUGUUGGGAGAUUCACUAUAAUACCCAAUAUAUGAGCUUAAAUUAUAAAUAAAAAGCCCUAUAUGAAAUAGACUUUAGAAUUAGAAACACACUCAAAGCCUAUUUACAACAUAACAAAAAGGCUUUUAAGUUAUUUUAAAUUACAAAACUGUCAUUGAUUUCUUAAAACAAACCCAACCCAAAAACCUCAUGAAAAAACCCAAAACGCUCAAUGAGGCAUCAAAAUAAUUUAAUAAUUAAAAUUAAAGGAGAUUCACUAUUAUACCCAAUAUAGAAGCUCAAAUUAUAAAAAUACCCUAUAUGAAAUGGACUUUAGAAACACAUCCAAAAUCCAUUUACAACAUAAUAAAAAGGCUCUUAACUUCUUUUAAAUUAUAAAAAUGCCAUUAAUUUCUUAAAACAAGCCCAAUCCAAAAAUUUAUAAAAAAGCCCAAAACACUCAAUAGGGUAUUAAAGUAAUUUAAUAAUCAAAAUUAAAUUAAAUAGGGCCAGUUGUCGCUUUUUGGGGUUUUUUUGGGUAUGUUUAUAAAAAUUAAAUAGUGUAAGGUUUAUUUAUAGUUUUAGUGCUAAAAAUGGGUAUAUGACUAAAUAUCUCUAAAAUUAAAUUCAAUAGGAUCAGCUAGAGUGUUGUUAUUUCCACCCCGUGUCCUAUUUUCCCACCCACCUUAUCUUCAAAUUUGUAAAGACAAAUUUAUCCCAUUAUAAAAUGACUUCUAAGUACUUCUAUCUAUAACAACAUUAAACUUUUGAUAUAUAAAAAAAAACUAAAACUAAUUAUUUUAAAAAUAAAAACAAAAACCCAACAGCCACCAAAACUCCCUCACCCACCAACUUGUUAGCCAUCGCACCCCGCCGGCAGCGACCCCCUCCCCCCUUGACAUCGACAAAUCCUCAUUUAUCUCUCUAUCUCUCUGUCUCUUUGUCUCUCUCUAUCUCUCUCUCUAUAUGUUAUGUGCCGAUCCAAACAACUCCCACUUGGUGGCACUGAUUCAGAUGCUGAGGAAGAAAAGAUGCAUCUUCUCUCACAAACCUGGGUAAGACCAUAAAAGGAAGAGAGGAAAAAGAAUCUGAAUUGUUUGUUGUACUGAUGCAGACCCUACCUUCCUACACAGUCAAAAUUCUAAGCACAAUUUGUUUUGACAGGUUUUCCUUUUUUGAUAUUUCUAGAGAUUCUAGACUUUGAAGAGGAUUUGUAGCCGUAAUUUUUAUCUAGUCUGUCUUGUGGGAGUGGGAAAAGAAAGAGAGAGAAAAGGAGCGAGUAGGGUGGUUGACUAGGUUGGGUGGGUGGGUGGGUGGGGGAGCUUUAGUUGAAUUAAUUUAAUACUAAUUUCAUAAACAUAACAAUUUGCUAGAAUUAAUAAUUAAAGAAUAUUUUAGGAAUAAUGAUGGGUGGAAAGAUAGGAUUGUGUUUUUUUAAAAUUUACAUGGUGGGUGGAAAGAUAAGGUUAGUGGGAAAAUAGGAUAGAUGGGUGGAAAUAUCAGCACUCGUCAGCUAUUAUUUUUUGGGUUUUUUUUAGUUUUGUUUAUAUAAAUUAAAUAGUAUAUAGUUUAUUUAUAAUUUUAGUGCUAAAAAUAAGUAUAUGACUAAAUAUUUUUUUUUUUUGGGUCUGAUUUUCUCUCUCUAGGCUAGGCCCAUUCAUUCUUGACUUUAUUUAUUAUUUGCAAGAAAUACAUCGAAUUAUAUUGAAUGGCUGAGUUUGCCUUUGAAUAUAUAAUAACAAGAAGAUACACACUACACUUCGUACUAUAAUACAAAUUAUGAUAAAGAGUGACGGUUUGGUUCGUUGGUUUUUCCAAGGAGUGAGAAAGAGAAAAGAGAGAGAGAGCUGGAAAUUUAGAAUUAAUAAGAUAUACGAUGAGUUUUAAGGUAGCUUUUCCACAUUGCUUGCAUUUCGAUUGCAUGAUAUAUGGAUUUAAUAGACAGCGAGAGGAGGCUGGCUGAUGACUGGAUGAGAUCAUGAGAUCAACUAAAUUUGUUGUAUAUCUCUAAUAAUUACUAUUAUAUUAUACUAAUAACCUCUACUGAUAAUUGUAUACUAUCUGACUCUAAGACUGUAAAUUGUACAUAAUAAAUACCAUACCAUGGUAUAUGGCUCUCAGCCCAGACAGCCUCUCUCUAUUGAGAAAGACCGCAUUUGGUUCAUGGAAAAGAAGGUUUGGGAAUGGAAAAUUAAUUAUUUUCCCAAGUUUGGUAAGUCCAAGCAUGGAAAAUAGUUUUUUGGUACAUGGGAAAAAUAGUAGGGCAAAAUGUAACCCUCUUCCUUCCUUGAGUUUCAUUUUCCCUUCCCAUGGGAAAACUUUGGGAAAAUGAGCCAGUAUUAAACGAAUAUUUAAAUGCAUUAUUUUUUAUUUAUUUGAUUUCAUAUAUUGAUAUAAUUGAAAAAUUAAACAAACUUUGUUUUACAUUCCUACGAAAACCAAACAUUGUAAAGAAAAUAAAUUAGUAUUUCCUAGUUAUUUUUUCAGCAUUACCAAACAUGAAAAUGAAUAUUUCAUUUUCUAUUCCUUAAGAAAAUACAUAGGAAAGUAUUUCCCACCAAAUUUUUUCCCCGAACUAAACAUGGAUAUCAAUGUCCAUAUGUCGCGGGGAUAUCACUAUCCACUGUCUGUCACUUGCAAGUCGUAAGCUCUCUCUCUCUCUCUCUCUCUCUCUCUCAUUGAAAUUGAGUUGAAUUGCGCUCUUUUACUUUUCAUUAUUUGCAUUGGUCCACCAGUGCCCACGCACCUUGGAAUCUACAGCAUAAUAUUAUAUAUCCCCCACGCACCAAAGCCCUUUUCACACCACAUCUUGGAAUCUACAGCGUAAUAUCAUAUAUCCUCCACGCACCAAAGCCCUUUUCACACCACACAUUGGAAUAAUAUCAUAUAUCCCUAAACCCUUGGAAUAAUAUCAUAUAUGCCUAAACCCUUUGAAUAAUAUCAUAUAUCUCUAAGAGCAUCCACAGUGGGAGGGUGUAUAAUGAGGUGUAUGUUAAAUAUACAUCAUUUAUGAUCUAAAUCACCCGCAAUGGCGAGGUGUAAACGAGUAUAAAUUUGCAUAACCACCAUGAGAUGUAAAUUUAGAUGCAAAUGUACAUCUUUUUUUACAUCUCUUGCAGGUGGGACCUACAUGAGAAAAGAUAAGAAAAAGUGGACAAAAGUGGGACCUACAGGAAAAAAGGUGAAAGAAAUCAAUUAUACCUCUUUAGAUUUACAUCUUCCCCACUGGAACAAAAAUCACAUUUACAACCUCCGAAGAUGUAAAGAAGAUAUAAAAAUAGCUUUACACCCCCGAAAAUACACCCUCCCAUUAUGAAUACUCUAAACCCUUGGAAUACACCACACCUUGGAAUCUACAGCAUAAUAUUAUAUAUCCUGUCCUUUUCACAAGUUUCAAACUUCCAAUAUGUUAAAUAUCCCAUCCCAUCCCACCAAAAAAUAAGAAAAUAACUUCCAUAAAAGCAGAAUGGAAAAUCAGCUCCUUAAAUAAAAUGAUUGUGAAUUAAGAUGUUGCUAAUUGAAGGACUUAGAUUAAUUCAUGUUGGCUUGGACCAAACUACAACUGAUCCAUCCAUCAUCUAAUAUAUUAUUGAAAUUGAAUUAAUUAAGGCAAGCAUGAGGAAAGUUGAUAUUUUCAGUUUUUUUUUUUUUUUUUUGGGGGUUCGAAAUCUGAUGUCAUUGAACAACCCAAACGGGAAGGAGCAAUACAGAGAUAAAAGCAGAGCAAUACAAACAGAGUUGGAUCAAGAAACAACUAGAACACAACUUCUAACCCUGAACAAAAUUGAACUAAUUAAUAGGGGGGCAUGGGAGCCCAUCAGAGACGAGGACACGCAUCAAAGACGGAGGUGGUCGAUUGACCCAACUUUCCAGUUCCACCGCUCUUGCACCUAUCAAUGUUGCGACGUGAGCAGCUCGAUUCCUUUUGCGGGGGAUCCAGUUCCAUUCGAUAUGGGGGAAGGCAUACGAGACCUUCCUAAUCUCUUGAAUGAGGGGAUAAAUUAUCCAGAUUCUAUUGCCAACAGCCCCUUUGAUCCCAUUGUGGUUGUGGAUGCAUCGUUCGUCCAUCCAAUUCCAACAUCAACAUCAACAUCCAUGUGAUGUUCCCCGGGUUGAAAGAAACUUGUACGCCUACAACUUUGAAAUGCAAUAUGAAUCAGAAGAUCAGACAGCAGCUAGCAAGCAACCAAGCAUAACAAGAAUAUAUAUAGACCAAGACGGCCAUCAAUAAAAUCGGCUCACUUUAGCAAACUAGUCGAACCCGCGGCUUUGACUCAAUGAAAAUUCGACUUCUUAAAUGUUAGUUGUACAUAGAGAGAAUAGAAAGAAUUUUUGUAAGUGUGAUUGUGAUACCGCUGCAUAGAGUACGCUACAUGAUUUUAGCAAUUGAGGUACCCUUUUCUUUUCUUAUGAAGGGCGCAAAUUUCUCCCUCCUCUAAAUGAUAACCUUUUGAUUCGGAGAGAGAGAGAAAUUAUAGAAUUGGUAAUAAGGGGUGGAUUGUCAUUGUCAAAGAUACAUAAUAUCUUCUUAGCUGGAACUUGGAAGAUGCCAAAAAAGAAUAUUCCGCUGGUUUUAUAUUAAUAUGCGUCAACUCUUAAACGAAUAAUAUUGUAUUUUGGGUUAUAUCGAGACAGUUUUCUAUUGUUUGAUGAAUUUUCCAAGAAAAGGACGUGCAAAACAAAACGUUAGCUAUGGAAGUGAGAAAUUGAAAAUGUUCUAUCUUUCCACUUCGUUUUGAUUCUAAGAUUGUUUUUUCACCCCCCACAAUUAAAGCUGUCUUAGGUAGAUUCUGAAUUUCGGGAUAUUAUUAUUUUGCAAGGAACUCUUCAUUUGAUUUUUGUUGUUCUUGUCAUUCUCAACUGCAUUACCUUCAUUGUUACGAAGAAGCACUGCUUGAUAUAUUUAGCGGUUGCUUUCACCAUUUCACUAGGAACAUAUUUGGGGUACUUCCGUACACAGAUGAAAAAGAAAUUUAACAUCAAAGUAAGCUUUCUUUCUUUGUCCAUCAUCGUGUGUGGUUCCUUACUAACUGAUAAUUUUUGGUUUUACCGUGAAUGAGUAGUUUUCUUUUCUUCGUCUAAUAUUAGUAUUUGCCUCAUAUUGUCUAUUCAUAUUUUUAAUCCUGUACUCUUCUGCAUUAAGGUUGCUCUCUCUUUUUAAUUCAAGGGUGCAAAAGCCACAUGCUAUAGAAAAAUAGAGAAAAUUUGGGUGUGGUUGGGUAGAUGGAUUGCAUUUUCUAUUAUUGUAAAGAGGGUGCGAUUGCUAUAUGAUUGACCAUUGGCAAGUGUAAUGUUAUGAAUCCAUGCAUUCUUAGGAAAGAAGAUAGUUCCAUGUGAAUAUACUAAUUACGUACCUUCCAGGUAUUUAUGAUCUGAUUGCGAUAAAGUUUUCACAAUCUUUUAACUUAUGCCUUCUGUUGGUUAUGUUUCAUGGUUAUACUUGAAUUACACUACAUUGUUGUGGGAAAUGUUUUUAUUUUCAGGGUAGUGAUAGUUCCUUGGAUGAUUGCAUCUACCAUCUUAUCUGCCCAUGCUGUGCAUUAUGUCAGGUGAUUAUCGUUGCGGAACCUAUGCUUGCAAGAUAGUUGUCAAAAUGGCUGAUUGUAGUUAUCACAAGUGUUUGUGGUACCCAGUGAAGAAGUAAGAUGUUUAGCCCCAUGCAUGUUCUUUCUUUUUCAAUUGAUGCUUUGCCCCGCCUUUCCUCUUACUGGUAGUCAUUUGUGAGUGUGAUUCAGAUGAAUUAAAACCUCAGUGUGCUUGGAAUAUUAUGCCUUUCAUGGUUGCAGGAUUCUUUAUGUGGUUUUUAUAACUGAUUGAUGUCAACCUCUUUUGUCAUGACUUUCAUGCAUAUUACUAGAAUAAGCAUUAGAAUUUUCUAAUCUCUAUUGUGACUGACGUUAACAUUUCUCUUCCAAAUUACUUCUACUAAGACAUUAACACUGAUGAGUUCCUUAAUAUGAGGUUUUUCCUCUCUGUUAUCAUAUCAUAUAAUGAUAAGGAGGCAUCAUAUAUAUAAAUUUCAUUCUUGUUGUGAAGCUUUCUCAAGUAAAGUAUAUAAUUACCUUCACCAGAUUAGACACUUGAUCGUUGCAGCACAACUUAAGAAAUCCAACUGAAGGACGUAAAGUCAUAUAAACCUUAAACCAUUCCAUGUUUGCAAUUUGACAAGUGGUCAUCUUUUGACACAAAUCCACUUUAUACAGGUUUUGCAUUGUAGUUUUGCACAAACUACAUUGCAGUUUUCAUUUAAUUACAAUUGGAUUUUUGCUCUUUCCUUGGCCUUCAACCUCACCAAUUUGAAGAGUAGAGGAUACCCAUAUGAGGAAUUGAGUGGGCAAGAGAAGAGUAGAACUACCCAAGAGCAAGGGAACUCAAAAUUGGACUUUUGGAAACUGCAUUGCAGUUUUCAUUUAAUUACAAUCUUUGCUCGUCUUUGGCCUUCAACCUCACCAAUUGGAAGAGUAGAGGCUACCUAAAUGAGGAAUUGGGUGGGCAAGAGAAGAGUAGAACUACCCAAUAGCAAGAGAACUCAAAAUUGGACUUUUGGAAACUCCAUUGCAGUUUUCAUUUAAUUACAAUUGGAUUUUGAUCUUUCAUUGGCCUUUAACCUCACCAAUUUGAAGAGUAGAGGCUACCCAUAUGAGGAAUUGGGAGGGCAAGAGAAGAGUAGAACUACCCAAGAGCAAGGGAACUCAAAAUUGGACUUUUGGAAACUGCAUUACCAGGAACAGAGUAUUUUACCAACAUGUAUUGAAUAUAAAAAAAAAGGCUUAUUAUGCUCUGCACCAUUUACAACUACCGAAAAGCUCAAAUGCACUCGUCACCAAUUAUUGGGCUGGAGCAAGUGCAAUUUUGGCCACCUGCCAAACCAAAUUAAAAUUACACAGGAGAAAUUGGGUGAGUUAUUAGAUGCACCGCCACACAUCAUACAGUGGAGCUACGAAAUGCGCUUACGAAGCAGCUUGAUUCUCUAAUGGCAAAAAAUGAGGUGUAUUGGCGGCAACGCUCAAGAGCUACUUGGUUGAAAGCGGGAGAUCGCAAUUCAAAAUUCUUCCAUUACAAAGCCUCUAGCCGCCGGAGAAGAAACACUAUCUCAGCGCUUGAAGAUGAGCAUGGACAUUGGCAGACAACAGAGCAAGGUUUAACACAAACUGUGGUUAAUUAUUUCCAGCACUUGUUUUCUUCCACAGGGUCUUCCGAUUAUACAGAAGUAGUGGACGGUGUAAGGGGGCGUGUCACAGAGGAGAUGAACCAGGCUCUUUUGGCGGAGUUUACUCCAGAAGAAAUUAAAAUUGCACUUUUUCAAAUGCACCCAUCUAAGGCACCAGGCCCAGAUGGCUUCUCUCCUUUUUUCUAUCAGAAAUAUUGACAGAUUGUAGGUGAGGAUGUGGUGGCGGCAAUCUUGCACUUCUUCAAAACGGGCAAAUUACUUAAGAAGAUAAACUUCAAGCAUGUGGCCCUCAUCCCUAAAGUCCAUGAACCAAAGAACAUGAUGCAAUUACGUCCCAUCAGUCUAUGUAAUGUCCUUUAUAAGAUUGGGGCGAAAGUGCUCGCCACCCACCUAAAAGCAAUCCUUCCUACUCUGAUUAGUGAUACUCAAAGUGCUUUUGUUUCAGGCCGUGCAAUCUCAGACAAUUCAAUCGUGGCUUUUGAAUUGCUACACAUGAUGCAUAAGAAAAAUCAUGGACGACAAGGGUAUCUGGCUCUCAAGAUUGACAUGAGUAAAGCAUAUGAUCGGGCAGAGUGGAGUUUUCUGGAGGCCCUAAUGAAAGGAAUGGGUUUUGCCCCACGAUGAAUCCAAUUAAUCAUGGAGUGCGUGACGACGGUUUCGUAUUCUUUCAUGUUGAAUGGAAAUUCAGUUGGUUAUGUCAUUCCACAGAGAGGACUUAGACAGGGUGACCCCCUUUCACCAUAUUUAUUCUUACUAUGCGCUGAGGCUCUCUCAAGUCUUAUUUUGCAGGCGGAACGACGUAAUUUACUUCAUGGAGUGAAUCUAUGUCGGGGGGCUACGUCUGUUAGCCACCUUUUUUUCGCUGACGACAGCUUCUUGUUCUUGCGGGCAAACCAACAGGACUGUGAACAAAUGAGCAUUAUUUUCCAAAAAUAUGAAAUGGUGUCAGGUCAGAAAAUACACUUGGAGAAAAGUUGUGUCUCCUUCAGUAAUAAUAUGGACCGUACUGAUCAAGAUAACCUAGCUGCAGUUCUGGGAGUUAGGAGGGUUGACCAGCAUGAUGUUUACUUGGGGUUGCCUACUCAUGUGGGAAGAUCAAGAAGGCAAUGCUUCAACUCUCUUAAGGAGCGCAUUUGGAAGAAAAUACAAGGUUGGAAGGCAAAAUUGUUAAGUUUUGCAGGGAAAGAAAUUCUCCUAAAAGUGGUGGCACAAGCUGUGCCUAUUUAUAUGAUGAAUUGCUUCCUCAUCCCUAAAUGUCUAUGUGACGAAAUUCAACAAGUGAUGGCUCACUACUGGUGGGGUGAGCAAGAUGGCCAACGAAAAAUACACUGGCUCAGCUGGAACAAAUUAUGCUUGCCUAAACAGGAGGGUGGGCUUGGUUUCCGUAAUUUAUAUGCCUUCAAUAUGGCGCUCUUGGCCAAACAAUUAUGGCGCUUGAUUCAAACCCCAAACUCUUUAGUGGCACGCAUCCUGAAAGCCCGUUACUUCAAGAAUUGCUCUAUAUUAGAGGCACAAAUCGGACAUUCCCCCUCCUAUAUUUGGCAAAGCUUAUGUAAAGCACGUGUCCUUAUUGAAAAGGGAUCUCGGUGGCGAAUCGGGAAUGGCCACAGUGUGCGUAUAUGGGGAGACCGAUGGCUCCCUAACUCUGAAUCUUUCCAAGUUUCCUCACCACAAGCAGAGGGGUUUGAUGAGGCAAAAGUGAACUCUCUUAUUAAUCCAGUCACUGUGCAGUGGAAGGAGAACCUUUUGCAAGCUUGGUUCUCGGCCGAGGAAGUGAAUUGCAUUCGAAACAUCCCUUUAAGCUUCAGACACCCACCAGACAUCUUGAUUUGGCACUUUGAGAGAGAUGGUCAAUACACAGUGCGGAGCGGCCAUGAAGUUGCUCGUCGGGUUUUGCUCCGGCAAGACGGGGACGACACCAACAUGAAUGGAGGACCCAUUGUAGCUUGUGAACAGGUCUGGAAGAAGAUUUGGAAAGCCCGAGUACCACCAAAGGUUCUUAUAUUCAUCUGGCGCGCUCUCUUGAAUAUUUUACCCACUAAGGAUAAUUUGAUUCAUCGUAGUAUCUCUGAAUUGGGAGGCUGUGUUUUUUGUGGGGCUGAAGAAACUGUGGCCCAUGUGCUUCUCCGAUGCCCCAUGGCUAUUGCUUCUUGGUCUUUAUUUCCGGCCUGGGCACACUUUAAUACUGAUGCCACAGAGGAGUUCAAGAUGUGGUUCCAAGGAUUUGUUGCAGACCACCCACUUCAUGUGCUAGAGAAAGUCAUGGUGUGCCUAUGGAUGCUAUGGUAUGAGCGCAAUCAAAUGGCCUGGGCAGGACGUCAACGGAGUGCAACAGAAAUUGUUAGUGGAGCAAUGCACUGUUUGCAAGAGUUUCAGGAAGUACACCCCCUCCAAAGACCCAUACCUCACGUGCCAUUGCUAAAUGGGUGCGGCCACCGCCUGGAGCUAUUAAAAUAAAUGUGAAUGGAGUGUUUCAUGGUGAAUCCAGUUUUGGUGGGGUUGGUUUGGUGGUUCGUAAUUCUACAGGUGCCUUUCUUGCAUGCAAGUUGGUUGUGCUAAAUGGGAUAUCAAAUCUCAUGCAUGCCAAACUGGUUGCAUUAAGAGAAGGCUUAAUCUAUGCUGCCAAGUGGUCCAAUCUGGAAUGUCAUAUAGAAGGGGAUUCCCAAGGCGCUUUACACUCAAUACAACGGGGCCAAAUUGAUCUGUCCCAUCUUGGUUGCCUAACUGAGGAUUGUCAAACACUUUUGGCCAGCCAAGAGCGUGUUUAUUUGAGGGUUACAAAGAGGAGUGCAAAUGGGGUUGCAACAUGGUUGGCUCGAUAUGCUCUACACUCUCAGGGAAUAGCAGAAUGGGUUACUGAUCCCCCAGAAUUCCUACAAGAUGUUUUGUUCAUUGAUGUAAUGUAAUUUUCUUGUUGUGUACGUUAUCGGCAUAUGUGGUACUCUUUCCUACUCCGGAGUUUUUCCCUUGUGGUUUUCUCUGGGAAGGUUUUAACGAGGCCACGCAUGACAUGCCUUUUCUUCCUCCCUUCUAGUAGAAUGAAUUCAACCUUUUCAAAAAAAAAAAAAAAAAGGCUUAUUAUCACAAAACGUUCCUAACGUUUGCGAAACUAUCAUAUUACAUUUUUAAAUUUUUUUUUAUCACUCAUUAUCCCUAACGUUAAUAUAAAUACUCUUAAAUAGUCUUUUCAUUAAAAAAAUAGUUAAAUCCCGAAUUUUAUGAGGGAUAUAAUCCUCAACUCCCUUUUACCUCUCACGCUUCAAAUAUAUUUCCUCGUGGUCAUCGUCAACAUCAUCAGACCAUUUCUACGCUUUUUCUGAGAAAUAGGGUUUUUCAAUCGUGGGAAAUUGGGCGAUAAAGCUUCUGCAAAAAUGUCUGAGAGAAGAUGGAUGAGGCAAAUGAGCGUUGGGAGACCAAGACCAAACCUACAUUUGUGCACCCAAGGGUCUUGACCAGGUGUAGAAUCUCCAUAUCCAAGCAAUUGGAGAUGGCAGCGAGGCCUACGUUACUGACUAAAAGCUUUUCUAGAUGGAUCUCAACCAUGGAGGUGACUUGCUCUGCUAUCACCUGGAGAACCUUGUCCCAAUCGCCAGAGCACCUGAAAAGUUUCAGAGUCCUCAAAUUCUUCUUUUUUUCUCUGUUUUUUGCUUUUGGGCUUUAUUCGUCGAGUGUAAUAAAAUAACACAGGGAUUUUUGUGGCACUAGUAGUUCUGGGAAUUGGGUUUUACUGCCAACGUCUGAUGCAUUAAUUCUUAGUUAAUUUUUGUUUCUUUUUUGUUGUUUUUUGGUGUUGCAGAGUACAAAUCAGAGUAGCAGAGAAGCUUCAAAGCUCAGACUGAAACGACAAGUCGUCGGCAAGUGUGAUCGCAGUAUGCUUCUAGCCACGACGACGACAUGCCGGCAGAUCGCAAAAGAUUCGUCGUCGGCCUCCAUCGGCAGAUCGCAGCCGUUGAUUUGGGCUUGGAGCGAUGGCUGUUGCGGCAAAGCUUCUCGGCAAAAGUGUCCGGAAGUGAUUUUUUUAUGGAAGUCAUGUAGGGGUUAAUGUGAUGGAACUGAAUGUGGUUGAUGAUAUAAUUGAAUGUAUUAGUUUAUUCAAUUUGUUCAAGGUAUGUUGUUUACAGUUCAAUUUGUUUAUGUUAAUCCCUUUCAUUUUCACCCCUUACCUUUAGCAAUUCCAACAAGAAAUGGAGGGAAAUGGUUCCAAAUUGGUGACGGGUCUGAGUCAUUGAAGAGGUCAAAAGGAUUGAUUUGAAUAUUAUACUCCUCAAUUUAACAGUUUUUUUAACGGAUAGAUUAUUUAAAAGCACCCAUAUUAACGUUAGGGACCAUAAGUGAUACAAAAAAACUUUAAGGAUGCAAUCUGAUAGUUUCGCAAACGUCAUGGACGUUUUGUGAUAAUAAGCCUAAAAAAAAUAUUGUUUUGUUUUUUUUAACUUUAGAGCUGAGCAUUUUUUUUCCCAAACUCAACAUUGCCGUUUCCAUUUUUGUAUUGCAGUUUCUAUUUAUACAUUGUAGUUUCCAUUUUUGUAUUGCAGUUUAUGUUUAUUCAUUGCAGUUUCUAUUUCUGCAUCGCAGUUUCCAUUUUAGUACUUUCAUCUUGGUUCCUCCAUUUUGCUUCAAUAAAAUUAUUUUUUGUUUAUGUAGCUGUUUUUUUUUUUAAUUUUAAACAUAAUUGAUAUCUACAUUGUAUUUUUGUUGCAAUUUCUGUUUUUAUUUGCGAUUUUUGUGUGAAUAUGUGUUGAAAUGAUUUUUUUUUUUAAACCGUUGAUUGUUUAUAUAAAUAUUGUAUAACUGAAUAAAUAUUACAAAAUAAAGUUUGGUGUAGUGGUUUGUGAGUGAGCCUUCCUCCUUUGAGGAUCAAGGUUUGAGUCCCUUCAAAGACACAAAAUCUUUUUUUUUAAAAGGUGAAUAAAGGGCAAUGGAGUUGGUCCCCUAACAGUGGUCGACAGCAGGAGUCCAACAGUGGAGUCCGGCGGCGGGAGGCUAACGGUGGUGGCCGGUUGGCUAGAUAUGGACAUAUGACAUAGUAUGCUUGCCUUAGAAGGAGUGGCAUUGUGUGUAAUUUUGAUAUUUUUUAAUGAUAUUUUUGUAAAAUUAGGUACUACAUUUUGGUCUUUGGCCUUAUACUAACUAGAUGAAAUUGUAUUCUUAUCUUUCAAAUUAAUAAAUUGUAUUGUGUUUUAAAACUAAAGCUCUCUUUAUUUAAUAUGCGUCAACUCUUGAACCAAUAAUAUUGUAUUUUGGGUUAUAUCGAGACAGUUUUCUAUUGUUUGAUGAAUUUUCCAAGAAAAGGAUGUGAACACAUGAAUUAGCACUGCCGAGUCAAGAUUACAAAGAAAGAUGACUCUCUCUGUAAAUUUUUAAAAACAUGUCACUUUCAAGACUCCAUAUAUAAUCUAUUCACAACUCCAUGGGCUCAAUGCUGCCGAGUGCUUGCUUUAGCUGGAGCCUGGAAGAAGAACCACUCAGACUCAGCAUUCACAUCCUGUUCGGUGACAGACACACCAAAAUGCCAAUUAUUUUGUGAAUCUCAAUAAUUAUACAACCAUGCUUGAUAUAUUUAGUGGUUGCUUUCACCAUUUCACUAGGAACAUAUUUGGGGUACUUCCGUACACAGAUGAAAAAUAAAUCAUACAUAUCAGUAUACUUACUUCCUCCACGUGAUAUUCCGCAUCAUAGUUAGGCAAUGGAAUGUUUUAAGACCUUCUGAUUCUGAUCAUCCAUAAUGUUGUUGAUCGCUCGUCAAACUUUAACACUUGAUGAGCCUGGUCACACCAACACUCAGAUGGGAUCGAUCGCACUAUAUAUACAUGUUCAUCAACCAUGAUUAAUUUGUAUUAGAUACACUUAGGGGAGAUUUUAAUUGCUUAUUUGGAAGAAAUGAAAUCAAGAUUGAAAUGGUGAAUGAUACACUAAGGCGAUAUUGUCCUAAAAAUGAAUGGCGCUAUGUAAACUAAGUCGACUACGAGAGAUUAAUUAUCAAUUUAAGCAAGCAAAACACUUAAUGUAAUUUUAUGUAAUCACAUAGUUUGGUACGGAUAUUUGGCAGUGCCUUUGUCUUCUCCGAAGCAGCAUUUGAUAUUUUACAGAGAUAUGCAACCUUCCAAUUCCAAGACUUUGCACUUAUUCAUAUACCUAGGCUAUCAAUCAUGCUGAUCAGCCUUAGGCUUUACCAGUUAAGAAUGUAGUAACUCUAUCGUUUUCUGCCCUUGACAAAAACCUCAUGCAAAUUGGUGGCUUAACCCCGGCAAGAGAAAGUAUUGAAGCAGGCAAAGUCCAAACCCCAUCGCCACAGAUCAAACCAGAAGCUACUGCAGGCACAAAAGCAUCUGCCUUGGCCUUGUUCACCCUUUCCCACAGAAACACUAUCAAGCUCCCAAUGCACAUGUCAAUGGCAAAAUACGAUCCCAAAUAGAAAGGUAUUGCCAUUGCCAUUGGUAGUGGAACGAAGCGUGCCCUCUUCUUACCAAUGCAAUCCUUGAUCACGUUUGUGAGAAUGGCCGCGCCAAAGAAGACGGUGCAAAGUAAGAGGCAGUGCUUGGGGAGAGAUUUGAAGCCUUCCACCCCGAGAAUAGCCAUGUUACGAUACACAACAGCAAGGGGAGCAGGAUAGGCACUUUUUGGGGUGCCGAGGUCAGUGAAGGCUUUGUAGAAGAGCCAAAACACACAGGGAGAAAUUACACAACCCAUUGCUGUACCGAUGACUUGGCUCACAAACAUUGAGCGGGGGGAAGCCAAGGUUAGAUAGCCGGUCUUGAAAUCUUGGGUUAGAUCAGAGGCUGUCGAGACAAUGUUCAUCAUAACUCCGCAUGCUGCGAGUCCAGCAAGAACACCACCAUGUGCAGAGCCGGCCCAUGCCCCGAUCAUGAAGAUGGCCACCUUUCCGUA
This 18860-nucleotide long non-coding RNA is filed under the name Prunus persica (peach). Its description in RNAcentral is "long non-coding RNA (PPER_LNC005545)". Lineage: Eukaryota; Viridiplantae; Streptophyta; Magnoliopsida; Rosales; Rosaceae. The record is from RNAcentral.